Molecule: ribosomal RNA, 458 nt
Filed under: uncultured bacterium
Lineage: Bacteria
Description: bacterial SSU rRNA
Rfam family: Bacterial small subunit ribosomal RNA
Source: RNAcentral
CGUGCCUAACACAUGCAAGUCGAACGGACGAGGGGAGCUUGCUCCCCGAGUAGUGGCGGACGGGUGAGUAACACGUGAGCAACCUGCCCUUCGGAGGGGGACAACAGCUGGAAACGGCUGCUAAUACCGCAUGAAACAGCGGGGAGGCAUCUCCCUGCUGUCAAAGAUUUAUCGCCGAAGGAUGGGCUCGCGUCUGAUUAGAUAGUUGGUGAGGUAACGGCCCACCAAGUCGACGAUCAGUAGCCGGACUGAGAGGUUGAACGGCCACAUUGGGACUGAGAUACGGCCCAGACUCCUACGGGAGGCAGCAGUGGGGGAUAUUACGCAAUGGGGGAAACCCCGAACGUAGCAAUGCCGCGUGAAGGAAGAAGGUUUUCGGAUUGUAAACUUCUUUUGUCAGGGACGAUAAUGACGGUACCUGACGAAUAAGCUCCGGCUAACUAUGUGCCAGCAGCCGC